Molecule: unclassified non-coding RNA, 550 nt
Filed under: Hevea brasiliensis (rubber tree)
Lineage: Eukaryota; Viridiplantae; Streptophyta; Magnoliopsida; Malpighiales; Euphorbiaceae
Source: RNAcentral
AUCCUACCGGCAAGCACUUGCAAGUAAGUGUUUUUUCCUCAUGUAAUUUGGUUCAACAGAUUUCUAGUGGGAUAUUAAUCUUCUUUUGUUUCCAUUAGUGUCUCUAUCAUGUUUUAGAAUAUUCUUUCAACCUUAGGGUUUUGAAGAAAAGCUAGUAAUAGGGCUUAACAACUUGUUUGUCAUUCCAUAAAAAAUUUAUAUCCUAAAUUAUGUCAAACAAUGAUAGAAUAAUGAGUUUCUUAUUAAAUUGUACUGGAUUGUUAAAUGGCAACUAAAGAUUUUGGUUUUGUUCAUUUAUGAUCAUAGUUACUUAAAUUGCAGUACUUCUUGGAUCGUGGUAUAAAUAACAUUUACUCGGUAUGCCACUUAGUUAGAUAUAUGGUAUAGGGAGUAGACUUAAUUGGUAUGCCAAUUUGGAAUAUAAUAUGGGAAUUAUAUCGAUUCAAUUCAUGGUACGUGAAUGCACUUAAUUAUUAUAAUCUAUGGUUUUAAGUAACGGCUGUUAAAUACAGGUUUUUGAGGGGGUGUUAUCAUUACCUACAUUAGAUAA